CUGGCUGGGCAGAUGAUAGAACAAAAGGGCAGCAGACAACGUGAGCAGAGGCAGCCAAGUUUCCUGCCCAGGCAAACAGAGAGGAUAACAGGAGAGGGGGAAGGAGAGAAAAGAAAAUGGAGGAAGAGCUCUGCAUUGAACUGAUUUAAGCGUAAAACCUACUGAAAUCGCUCUUGCUGGGGAAGCAUAAGCUAAAACAAAAGCAACAACAAUAUAAACCUGCUACAGUUGUGGUAAGUAGAUUGUGGAGCUGUAUUUUUGCUACUUCAAAGGAUACCAUAGAUGAGAGGAUUUCUGUUAAAGUAAAACAAGUCCUAUGGACAAAAAUUGUGUUAUUCCUCACUCUUGUUAUCAGUUUACUCACUCAUUGUAAACUCUUCACCAGACUUUAGAUAUCUCUCAUAUUAAAAUCUCUGAUACUUAAAUAAAAGGCUAUAUUUUUGAGGCA
RNAcentral lists this long non-coding RNA (448 nucleotides) under Bos indicus x Bos taurus (hybrid cattle). RNAcentral's name for it is "lncRNA (ENSBIXG00005005226.1)". The record is from RNAcentral. Lineage: Eukaryota; Metazoa; Chordata; Mammalia; Artiodactyla; Bovidae.